GACGAACGCUGGCGGCGUGCUUAACACAUGCAAGUCGAGCGGUAAGGCCCUUUCGGGGGUACACGAGCGGCGAACGGGUGAGUAACACGUGGGUGACCUGCCUUUAGCUCUGGGAUAAGCCUGGGAAACUGGGUCUAAUACCGGAUACGACUCCGCGGUGCAUGCUGUGGGGUGGAAAGCCUUGUGCGGCUGGAGAUGGGCCCGCGGCCUAUCAGCUUGUUGGUGGGGUGAUGGCCUACCAAGGCCGACGACGGUAGCCGGCCUGAGAGGGCGACCGGCCACACUGGGACUGAGACACGGCCCAGACUCCUACGGGAGGCAG
RNAcentral lists this ribosomal RNA (322 nucleotides) under uncultured bacterium. RNAcentral describes it as "bacterial SSU rRNA". It matches the Rfam family "Bacterial small subunit ribosomal RNA", at positions 28 to 351 of the family's 1533-position model. The record is from RNAcentral.